UACAGAGGUCUCAAGCGUUGUUCGGAUUCAUUGGGCGUAAAGGGUGUGUAGGUGGCGCCGUAAGUCGGGUGUGAAAUUUCGGAGCUUAACUCCGAAACUGCAUUCGAUACUGCGGUGCUUGAGGACUGGAGAGGAGACUGGAAUUCAUGGUGUAGCAGUGAAAUGCGUAGAUAUCUGGAGGAACACCGGUGGCGAAGGCGGCAUCCUGGACCGGUAUUGACACUGAGGCGCGAAAGCCAGGGGAGCAAACGGG
Molecule: ribosomal RNA, 253 nt
Filed under: uncultured bacterium
Lineage: Bacteria
Description: partial 16S ribosomal RNA
Rfam family: Bacterial small subunit ribosomal RNA
Source: RNAcentral